This 1268-nucleotide long non-coding RNA is filed under the name Capsicum annuum. Its description in RNAcentral is "long non-coding RNA (CANN_LNC021447)". Lineage: Eukaryota; Viridiplantae; Streptophyta; Magnoliopsida; Solanales; Solanaceae. The record is from RNAcentral.
ACAUACUUGUCUGUUCGUAAAGUUUUACAAAGUGUGAAUGGAAAAUGGAGAAAAUUAGUGGGGAAAAAGUGAAAAUACACAUAAAAGGAAAGUGUGCUCACAAUAAGGAAAGUUUACUAAUUCUCCCACAUUGGUGGGAGAAUGAAACUUUCAUAUGUUCUUACUAAGAAACACAACUCCACAUGGAUAGUGAGGCAAGAACCAAGAGGUGCGUCGCGCCGUCAUCGUCGUCGCUCGCUCGGCUUUGAAUUUGGAUUUGGAUUUGAAAAAUGAUCGAUCGAUGAGACUAAUUUUUUUGAUAAAAUCACACUAUAUGACUGUUUGGAUGGUUGUGGUUGUUUGAAAAAGAUACACUGUUUCUAAUGGAUAGACAUGACUAUUCAGAAAAGAUACAUCUUUUUGAUGAACCAUUGCCUCCUUUUCAAAGGGGCACUUUAUGGCUAUAUAAACCUACAUUUUUUCAUAGGUUUAGUAGUAAAAAAUUUUCUGCAUUACAAAUACUUCUUGUCUUCUAAAAACUACGUGUGAUAAUCUCCCGUUGAGUGAGUUCGAAGAAAACCAGAACGUUUGAGGUACCGCUACAGUCUGGUUGUGAAGCCAUUUUAUCCUGGGAGGAAAAUUUCGCAACCUCGGGUACUUGACGGAAAUUAUUUUCUUAAGGACACUUCGUGAAUUCGAAGGACUUGGCUCAUUCUGUUUCAUCUUUUUUCUUAAUAAAAAUAACACACUUCUUUGAUAGUUCAUAUUGAACUUGUGUUGAAGGUGUUGGAAAACUUCACAAGUGUUCUUGAAAAGUCUUGAACUUGUGUUGAAGUUUAUUGAACUAACAUAUACAUUGUGUACCCGAAACAACAGAUACUAGCAAAAACACAUAAAAAUCUAAUACUUCAUCUGAUAGUUGAGCCGGGGGGUCUUUUGAAAAUAGUCUCUACUUCAUUUGAGGAAAUGGUACGAACUGUGUACACUUUAUCCUCCACAAAUCCCACUUUAUGAGAAAACCGCUGGGUAUGUUGUUGUAGUUUGGCUGAUAGUUGAUGUCAAGAUUCAUUUUAGUUGCUUAAGAUUGAAGAUUUAAUGAUUUGAAGAUAGAAAUCAAUCAACGAUAACAUCUCAGUAAGAUAUGAGAGAAAGAAAGAUACAGAUUAGAGCAUAUGCAGACGCUAUCUUCACUUUAUGAAUAUAGAAAAAUUAUUUAUAAAAGAUCAUCUGUUCAAGUAACGUAAGAUAGUAACCAAUGAGGAUUGAAAUCUCAUUUAGUUAGAUUGUUA